Molecule: ribosomal RNA, 528 nt
Filed under: uncultured Entrophospora
Lineage: Eukaryota; Fungi; Glomeromycota; Glomeromycetes; Entrophosporales; Entrophosporaceae
Description: SSU rRNA
Rfam family: Eukaryotic small subunit ribosomal RNA
Source: RNAcentral
AGCAGCCGCGGUAAUUCCAGCUCCAAUAGCGUAUAUUAAAGUUGUUGCAGUUAAAAAGCUCGUAGUUGAAUUUCGGGAUUGACACAUCGGUCGUGCCUUAAGGGGUAUGAACUGGUGUAGUCAAUUUCUCACCUUCUGGAGAACCGCGAUGCCCUUAAUUGGGCGUCACGGGGAACCAGGACCUUUACUUUGAAAAAAUUAGAGUGUUUAAAGCAGGCAUUUUGCUUGAAUACAUUAGCAUGGAAUAAUAAAAUAGGACGGCAUGAUUCUAUUUUGUUGGUUUCUAGGAUCACCGUAAUGAUUAAUAGGGAUAGUUGGGGGCAUUAGUAUUCAAUUGUCAGAGGUGAAAUUCUUGGAUUUAUUGAAGACUAACUACUGCGAAAGCAUUUGCCAAGGAUGUUUUCAUUAAUCAAGAACGAAAGUUAGGGGAUCGAAGACGAUCAGAUACCGUCGUAGUCUUAACCAUAAACUAUGCCGACUAGGAAUCAGACGAUGUUAAUUUUUUAAUGACUCGUUUGGCACCUUACG